This 482-nucleotide ribosomal RNA is filed under the name uncultured bacterium. Its description in RNAcentral is "partial 16S ribosomal RNA". It matches the Rfam family "Bacterial small subunit ribosomal RNA", at positions 30 to 507 of the family's 1533-position model. The record is from RNAcentral.
AUUGAACGCUGGCGGCAUGCCUUACACAUGCAAGUCGAACGGUAACAGGUCUUCGGAUGCUGACGAGUGGCGAACGGGUGAGUAAUACAUCGGAACGUGCCCGAUCGUGGGGGAUAACGAGGCGAAAGCUUUGCUAAUACCGCAUACGAUCUACGGAUGAAAGCGGGGGAUCUUCGGACCUCGCGCGGACGGAGCGGCCGAUGGCAGAUUAGGUCGUUGGUGGGAUAAAAGCUUACCAAGCCGACGAUCUGUAGCUGGUCGGAGAGGAUGAUCAGCCACACUGGAACUGCGACACGGCCCAGACUCCUACGGGAGGCAGCAGUGGGGAAUUUUGGACAAUGGGCGAAAGCCUGAUCCAGCCAUGCCGCGUGCAGGAUGAAGGCCUUCGGGUUGUAAACUGCUUUUGUACGGAACGAAAAGCCUCUUUCUAAUACAGAGGGGUCAUGACGGUACCGUAAGAAUAAGCACCGGCUAACUACGUG